GCAGCAUAUCCAGCUGCUGUGGUUCCAGGCUGUUUGGAGACUUUGAAAGCAGUUCAUCUGUGAGAUAAUGAAGAAAGAUAGAAAGAAAAAACAAACAAGGGCACACGUUUAUUGAUGAAACACAUAAAGUCCAAUUGCCAGUGACAAAGAGGACAGGAAUGCAUUUACAGCAGCUCUUUGGAUUUGAGGAAGAUCUGAUGCGCUUGGGCAAAGUUCAUUUCAAUGAAACGAGAACAGGAAAUCAAAUUGACUGAAAAGAUGAACGUGGCAGAGCAGCAUUUUGCCAGAACGUUGUUAAAAAUUACACUGCUGAAGUGGAAUGAGUGGCAGAAAUCCCGUAAGAAGGAAAAAGCUGGUAAUGUGUGGACAGGCUGGCUGGUGGUGACGUCAGACCCUGAAGAACACACAAUACUGAGGGUGAAAUGUGAAUGAAAUGUGC
Molecule: long non-coding RNA, 439 nt
Organism: Acipenser ruthenus (sterlet)
Lineage: Eukaryota; Metazoa; Chordata; Actinopteri; Acipenseriformes; Acipenseridae
Exons: 4
Source: RefSeq, a predicted model, not a curated record